RNAcentral lists this long non-coding RNA (2655 nucleotides) under Manduca sexta (tobacco hornworm). RNAcentral describes it as "uncharacterized LOC115450366". The record is from RNAcentral. Lineage: Eukaryota; Metazoa; Arthropoda; Insecta; Lepidoptera; Sphingidae.
UAUUGGUUGUGCUUGUAGUGUAAUAUUAAGUUUUUUUUUUAAUUUGGUAUCUACUGACAUAAUAUAAAUAUUUCUUGAAUUGGAACGACAACGAUUUUCGAAUAAUUGGCAAUCUUUCGGCUUCCCGCCAUAAUUCUCUAACUUUCAAGUAAAAUAGUUUUAUUCGGGAUUUUUACCAUAGAUAAGUUUAGGAUUCGAUUUUUUAUUCCUGUUUGUUAUUUUCUUAAGUAACACAUUAAAUCAAACUAAACUAUGAGCAGGGAACAAGAUUAAUAAGAGUUUAAAUAUGUAACAAUAUCUAUUAAUAGGAAGGGGAAUUCUACAAUAUAAUAUAACGAAAGGGAUGCAAAAUAUGGGGUGACCUUUAAAAAAGGAAUGUGGCUUAUAAUGGAUUAUGUAUCAGCUAUUCUACAAUGCGACAAAAACAAGCUGACACGAAGCUCACCAAACAAAAUAUAUUAACAGAACAGGGCACAAGAAAUACCAUCAUAACUAAAUUUAUUUUCAGGAACCUUUGUGCUACGAGUGCGUAGCGCUACGUGAUGGCUGCUACGCACUACGCCCUUCACGAUGUUCGGUGGAGGCGCGCGGCGGACUCGUCAGCGGUGUCAUGUCUACUGUCGCGUGCCCCAGAGACAUAGCCUCCAGGUGAAUGUACUUAUACUUGUUAUCCAACUUGAUGACAGAAUGUGUGGCGACAUGCUUUUAUACUAUUAUCAAGUAAUAUUUUCUAAUGACAAGAUAGUUUCCACGAGAAUUUCUUAUGUCAAUGCAUGUAAUGAAUAAUACGAUAUUGACUGCAGAACAUAAGAAAUAUGUUGUUAUAUCGGAUGUUUCUUGUAAAUUGGUAUUAAGUAGUUCGCACAUCAGGUAUUAGGUUCACAGUGCACAAUAACAUUGGGUACAUACUAAAUUAUAAGCCAAACAAGAACAUAACAUUCCUUUCACACAAAUUUACAAAGCGGAUACCUACACAGACUUUUUUAUACAAAUUAUAUCUACUAGAAUAGCAUUUUAAUGAAUGUGAGCGUUGUUUACUACACUAUAAAAAGAAGUAUAGUGCAGCAUUAUACUAUUAUAUUCGUAUGAAAUCCAACAUAAGGCAAUCGAAUAAAGAUCAAGACAAUACCGCGGUUAGCAAUAUUGCGCUGUACACAAUCACAGUAAACAAGAUAGAUGGAUCCGCUGAAUGUGCCGCCGGUGGGUCACUAAUCGUAAACGUAGCGCCGGCCGAUUGCCGAUAUAUCCCUGGUUUAGCUAACAAUAUCAUAACGCAACCGGACAAAGUUUACGCGCCGCGGCGAGGAGUCGAGACGCGAUCCGCCGCGGAUGAGGCGCAUUUUGCAACUACUUUCAACUCUGUUCAGUAUUUUCGUGACAUUACACUUAACGACUACUACUGAGGUAGUUUGCAAAUUCGAAAAACAUAGUAAGUAGUUCGCGAACGUUUGGUGGCGGGGACCGUAUACCAUCAGGGUUAUCUGCUUCUCUGCCUUCCCAGGCGAUAAGGAAACAAAAAGAAAGUGCCCGAUCUCGGGUGACGCUCGCUCGAAUUGUACGUAGGUAAAGUCACAAUGUGACUGUCGUGGUCGCCAGUCGCGUUAUUAUCAAGUGGGUGAUUUGAUCAUCUCGUCUUGAGCUUGUUUAUAAAUGAGCCUGAAUGGGAGUUAUAUCAAGCACAGCUCAAUAUUUAUAUCAAAGAAGCUCGAGACAUGCCACAUCGCAUAUAUUGCAGUUUCGUGUUUAAGACGAUUGAACGCGAUCUAAGACAAAGUGUGUUAUUUCUCGCGGGAUCCCUCCAGGGGCGGCGGGAUGGUUGCGGGGAGUCGGGCCCGCUCGCGGACGCGGACUCCGCAGGGGUGGGAUGGGGCCGAGUGGAGCGUGCAGCUACAGUAUAUGAGGGAAAUAGCGCCAUGUAUUUGUCAUCGGGCUCGCGCACGGACUUGCAUCCGCCACGCAAUCCUUUCAGUAUCACUUAAUAAAUGUGGUUAUAAUUUCAUUUAUGAUUGUAAUUCUAUUGUAAUGCUGUUACACCUAUUAUUUUUAUUAGAAUAGAGCUAUUUAAUCAAUGCGGCGACUAAAAGUCACAACACGCACGUUAUACUAGAAAUAAAAGCAAAAUCAUGUUUUUAAAUGAGAAAUCUGACAAAGAUACCGCCCACUAACGUCGAAAGGAUGUACACUGUAUGUGUAUAGACAAUAGACUUGCAUCAAAAAAGCAUCUGUCGUAAGUGUGUGUUAUUUCGCACGGAGGCGGCGCGGCGUGUAGAGCUCUCCGCCCGAAUCAUUACCCACCACUCACGCACCGCUCGAUGUGGCGCAGCACGACAGCGCCGACACCCUGCAUGUCACUCAUUUUAAUAUGUAAACGUUAUCAAAGGCUUCGGUUUAUUGCUAAUAAAAGGACAUGACUAAUUGUAAUACGAAAAAAAUAUCCACAAAUCUGGUGACUUACCAUUCGUUCGUGUAGAGUGAUGAUUCCGAUGAGAUCGCAUCUUCGGUUCUUCGCCCUUAGCGAAAUAUGUUUAAUAAAUUCAUGCUUAUUCUAUAUGUUAUAAAAUAUCGAAUAAUUUAUGCCUAUUUAAGAUAGAUUUAAAAUCUAGAAACUACUUAUAAUGUUUUAGUUUGUUUUCGUAAUAAAUGUUUUAGUUUACC